Molecule: ribosomal RNA, 473 nt
Filed under: uncultured bacterium
Lineage: Bacteria
Description: bacterial SSU rRNA
Rfam family: Bacterial small subunit ribosomal RNA
Source: RNAcentral
ACUCCUACGGGAGGCAGCAGUAGGGAAUCUUCCACAAUGGGCGCAAGCCUGAUGGAGCAACACCGCGUGAGUGAAGAAGGGUUUCGGCUCGUAAAGCUCUGUUGUUAAAGAAGAACACGUAUGAGAGUAACUGUUCAUACGUUGACGGUAUUUAACCAGAAAGUCACGGCUAACUACGUGCCAGCAGCCGCGGUAAUACGUAGGUGGCAAGCGUUAUCCGGAUUUAUUGGGCGUAAAGAGAGUGCAGGCGGUUUUCUAAGUCUGAUGUGAAAGCCUUCGGCUUAACCGGAGAAGUGCAUCGGAAACUGGAUAACUUGAGUGCAGAAGAGGGUAGUGGAACUCCAUGUGUAGCGGUGGAAUGCGUAGAUAUAUGGAAGAACACCAGUGGCGAAGGCGGCUACCUGGCCUGCAACUGACGCUGAGACUCGAAAGCAUGGGUAGCGAACAGGAUUAGAUACCCUGGUAGGAUAGCG